GACGAACGCUGGCGGCGUGCCUAAUACAUGCAAGUAGAACGCACAGUUUAUACCGUAGCUUGCUACACCAUAGACUGUGAGUUGCGAACGGGUGAGUAACGCGUAGGUAACCUGCCUGGUAGCGGGGGAUAACUAUUGGAAACGAUAGCUAAUACCGCAUAAUAUUGAUUAUUGCAUGAUAAUUAAUUGAAAGGUGCAAUUGCACCACUACCAGAUGGACCUGCGUGUAUUAGCUAGUAGGUGAGGUAACGGCUCACCUAGGCGACGAUACAUAGCCGACCUGAGAGGGUGAUCGGCCACACUGGGACUGAGACACGGCCCAGACUCCUACGGGAGGCAGCAGUAGGGAAUCUUCGGCAAUGGACGAAAGUCUGACCGAGCAACGCCGCGUGAGUGAAGAAGGUUUUCGGAUCGUAAAGCUCUGUUGUAAGAGAAGAACGGGUGUGAGAGUGGAAAGUUCACACUGUGACGGUAUCUUACCAGAAAGGGACGGCUAACUACGUG
This 504-nucleotide ribosomal RNA is filed under the name uncultured bacterium. Its description in RNAcentral is "partial 16S ribosomal RNA". It matches the Rfam family "Bacterial small subunit ribosomal RNA", at positions 28 to 507 of the family's 1533-position model. The record is from RNAcentral.